UCCCUGGUGGUCCAAUGGUUAAGAUUCUGUGCUCCCAAUGCAGGGGGCCCAGGUUCAAUCCCUGGUCAGGGAA
This 73-nucleotide transfer RNA is filed under the name Bos taurus (domestic cattle). It matches the Rfam family "tRNA". Rfam says of the family: Transfer RNA (tRNA) molecules are approximately 80 nucleotides in length. RNAcentral also lists the same sequence under 5 other names. Lineage: Eukaryota; Metazoa; Chordata; Mammalia; Artiodactyla; Bovidae. The record is from Rfam by way of RNAcentral.